AUUGAACGCUGGCGGCAGGCCUAACACAUGCAAGUCGAGCGGGGUUUUCGGACCUAGCGGCGGACGGGUGAGUAAUGCGUAGGAAGCUACCCGAUAGAGGGGGAUACCAGUUGGAAACGACUGUUAAUACCGCAUAAUGUCUACGGACCAAAGUGUGGGACCUUCGGGCCACAUGCUAUCGGAUGCGCCUACGUGGGAUUAGCUAGUUGGUGGGGUAAUGGCUCACCAAGGCGACGAUCCCUAGCUGGUUUGAGAGGAUGAUCAGCCACACUGGAACUGAGACACGGUCCAGACUCCUACGGGAGGCAGCAGUGGGGAAUAUUGGACAAUGGGCGCAAGCCUGAUCCAGCCAUGCCGCGUGUGUGAAGAAGG
This 372-nucleotide ribosomal RNA is filed under the name uncultured bacterium. Its description in RNAcentral is "bacterial SSU rRNA". It matches the Rfam family "Bacterial small subunit ribosomal RNA", at positions 30 to 414 of the family's 1533-position model. The record is from RNAcentral.